Molecule: small RNA, 106 nt
Filed under: Drosophila ananassae
Lineage: Eukaryota; Metazoa; Arthropoda; Insecta; Diptera; Drosophilidae
Description: GF27409
Source: RNAcentral
CCGCAACAUUAAAUUUACCGCCUCCUCCAGUCGCCGGUCAGGUCGAAGGCAGGUCGCGUCCUGCAGUCGCCGGUCAGGUCGUCUCCUCCAGUCGCCAGUCAGUCAC